GGACUUUUAUUUUGAAGUUCGGUGGUGGGGGCGGCCAUUUUAGAGGGGCAUUUUAGUCUCGCGGUAGUUUGCCAAGGAUCGUUUGGUCUCGUUGGGUCACCGGUGGGCCGCAGGCACGGUGUGUAGUACCGGUAACUGGUUUAAUGCGGAUAAUUAUAUCCUUGUUUUAUAACUCGAGUGAGUUUUUUUAGAAAAUAGACUGUUGCGAUUCUGGAUCCGAGGUGUGAAACCUCCUGAGGGGAGUGAGGAGCUUCUGGAGUGGAGGGAGACUGCGUGAGCUUGUGUAUGAGCUAACCAUAUGAGGAUUGCAGGAGGGUGAUUGCGAGGCUGCCUAGGAGAGCUUAGCGUGGGCAUUUAUUAUCAGUGAGAGCUUCACCUGGAGGGUGGGCAGGAGCUAAAGGAAUACUCUUAAUUGGGCAAAUACUGCUGUUGCACAGGAUGGCGCAUGCCUGUGAUAGUAGCCACUGUUCUACAUACUGUUUUUAGAAUGUUUUAUUAUAUAGUUUAAUUCUAGUGUUAUACUCCCUGCUGUAGUCUCAACCUUGUGGGAGACCCAGUUCUAGUCCUAACUAGAAUUUGGUUGAUAUAACCCAAAAUACCGAUUUAACCUACUGCUGAUAUUAGUGGGGUGCCUGAAUCAACCCAAGUUACUAAUUCAAUAAUGGUUAGGUUUCCUUUUUUUUUAUGGAGUAUAACCUCAGUAAGCUCUGAGUAAUUAGGAUUCACCUCAGUAUUGUAUUUGGUUUUCAAUUCUGGAUGUAUGGGUUUAAUGAGUGUGUAUAUUUAUUUUUCUAAGUUUGGGAUUUGCUUUGUGUAGGUUGUGAUUUUUUUUUUCUUUUUUUUUUUGUUAUUUUCAUCGCAGUAUAUUUAUAUGCAUGUGAGUGUAGUGUGAGGUGAUACAGCCGUACUGAGUGUGAGCCCUUGGUUGCUCGAGAUUAAAGUGGGUACAUUCCUCUUUCUUGGGGAACCACCAUUUGAUACUUGAAUAAUUUUAUUGUCUUGGAACAUUUUUUAGCUACCCUAAUAAAAUUACCUACGUUUUAUUUUAUAAUCUAAAUACUGAAUGAGUAAAAUUGUGUUUAUAGAAUUGUGUAUGGUUGUUUACCCCGUUGUGGGUUGAGAGUGUACUCUGACAUUUAAAAACAAGAAAAUAAAGAUUCCUUGUUUGCA
Molecule: long non-coding RNA, 1170 nt
Organism: Astyanax mexicanus (Mexican tetra)
Lineage: Eukaryota; Metazoa; Chordata; Actinopteri; Characiformes; Acestrorhamphidae
Exons: 2
Source: RefSeq, a predicted model, not a curated record